Molecule: long non-coding RNA, 521 nt
Filed under: Pogona vitticeps (central bearded dragon)
Lineage: Eukaryota; Metazoa; Chordata; Lepidosauria; Squamata; Agamidae
Description: lncRNA (ENSPVIG00000023033.1)
Source: RNAcentral
AGUUCAAUGAAAAUACAACUUUAGUGUUCAUAACUAUACAUUUAUUCAGUCUGCAGAACCAACCAACGGUGAAGACAAUGGAAGUGCAACACUUGUUGGCACGGAAAAUAUACAAUCCUGCUGUUUUUCAGUGGUUCAGCAAUGGCUCAUCAAUCAACAAACUACUGAGAAAGGGAAUGGUAGGAGGAUGCUUUUCUUAGAGAAAGAUGACAAAUAUUCUGUGCAAGAAGAACUCAUGCUGGAUAUGAAAAACAGAAGCCCCUGUAAGGAACCAAGUCAAGAGAGAAAAUCACAAUGAAGGGAAGGACCAUGAAGCAAAAUUGAAGAGCAAGGACCAAAGACCAACCAAAAAAAUGGUAGGAACACACCAAAAGUAUAUAUAUAUAUAUAUAUAUCAGGAAGGCUGUCCUUAAUUUAAUUUUUAGUUAAAAUGGGCACUCGUCCUGUACCCCUUUCUGUCAAGGACAAUACAAUGGUCAGUGUAGGUUGGCAGAGCCCAUGCGGGGUCUGUGAAUAUUUCA